AAAUAAGCAAAUAUCUUACAGAUUAUGUGGGGAUAAUGUAACAUUUGAAAUUUGUUUCAGCAUAAAAGGCACAUGUCAAAUUUCUUUAAAAUGGUUUCUAAGGUAACUCCAUUUCAGGAAAUGACAUCAUCACCCUAUUUUCAUACAGCACCCCAAGUUCAUACAAAAGCAGUGUGAAACCUGAAAGACAGCUUUACACCAAGGUAGACUUUUCUUUUUUUUUCACCGGAUGAAUGAUGUUUUUAUACAUUUAUAUUGUCCUCCUCUUAAAGAUGCCAGCAGCAGUUCUGGGAGUGAGUGUGGAUCAAGGCCCAAAGGCUGUGGCUAAAGCAGAGGGCAAAACUGUGAAUCUGCCCUGCAAAGCGACCGGUGUGGGCUCUUCAGAUUAUAUCCACUGGUACCAAAUAAAAGACGGCAAAGCCCCGUCAAGACUGCUCUAUAUCAGUAAAGAUGGUGUUGUCACUCGUGAUAGCAACAAUCCCCAAGCAAGUGAUUUCACAGUGGACAAAACAAAGCUUUAUAAUCUAAAACUGAGUGACAGUAAGAAGAGUCACAGUGCCGUUUACUUCUGCGCCUACUGGGAGGGCAACACAGUGAGAACAUUUACUCACAUCCUGUACAUGAACUACACUGGUAAAUCUAAUUAAUGAAUGACAUAUUUAUAUACUUUAAUAUUUAUUUACUUGUCACUUUCUGUUUAAGUUCUCAAUUUGAAUUAAGCUGCAAAUGCACAGAAUGAGGUUAUUUGUACACAUUGUAUUAUUGUGAUUUUGGAAUAUGUCAGGUGUAUCUCAUAUUUGUUAUGCUUUGUAAAGAUAUAAAUAAAAUAUUUAGCAUUUACAGAUUUGUAGUUUUCAGUUUGAUGAAGAGCUCAAAUAUCACUUGUCCUUGUGUGUUGAAAAUAAAUUCAGUAUAUUCAGCAGUGUGCCAACUUUAUGUGCUUUUCACAUGUAUUUUAAGUCAUUUCUGAAUCAUUUCUGAAGCUCACAGACAUUCCACAAAUAUACUGGAUUAAUUGAACUCUAGUCUAAUUGAACAAAUGUAUGAAUAUAGUAGGCUAUAAUAUAAAAUAGAGCUCUUACAAUUUAUUUUACAAAUAAAAGCAAAAAAAGAGUAGCUCUUUUUCUCGUUUAUCUCUGUGACCAAACUGCAAUGUGAAUUUUACAACCAAUGUAUUCCUAAUUACCAACCCUGUAUCCCAUGAAAUACGUUCUGAGGAAACUAUUUUGCAAAUCGCAAUUACGUUACAUGCCAACAUAUAAGCAGUGCUAUUACGUUUUUCCUUAACCUAAUAUAAGCAGUGCUAUUACGUUGGUCCUUAACCUAAUAAAGCCAAUUUAUUGCAGUGCUAUUACGUUUGUCCUGAACAUAAUACAUCCAAAGCAGGUUUCUUUUCACACGUAGCAGCUAAUGCUGUUCAUUUUGUUUUAAUUAUUUACUCCCUUUUUUCUGAUCGGGCUACAAAAUAUUAUUUAUGCCAGGGGGAGUCAAAUGGCGGCACCCAGAUAAUUUUUAUCUGGCCCUCCAACUGGUUUUUGAUGUUUAAAACCGCUCGCAAUCUGAUAUCAAAGUCCCCGCAAAGGUUUAGCGUUUUCAGCGGUGAGUUUAACGUUGCAAAGAUUUUUCUGAUCUCGCCAGAAUAAUGUGAAACUGCUACGUUUUGGUUGCUAUGAACAAUAUUUUGAGUUAGUUUCUGCAUAAAAAUAAGGUUUGAUUAAAUUUUUAGCGAGAAAUAUAUAUUCUAUUUUCAUAAUAUUCACUCAGUGAAUGUCAACCCGUUCUCACUCCUGACCGUUCUCACGCUGAAGAAGUCUCCUUCAGAACACAUCGCGAUAUUUGGUAUCAGUUCGCGUGUGCUGGAUGUUGGUAAGUAGUCGUAAAUACGCUGUUCUAAUGUUUGAUAUAAUGUCUUUUCUGUUUGCAGAUAUUAAUCAGAUUAACGUUAGCUCCCUCAUGUUCAGUCACUGCAUUAUAUCUGUCACCUCCGCUAAGGUUUUGCUUUUCAUUGUUUUCUAUAUUAAAUACUAAACUAGGGUGAUUAAACACUGUCACGUGACGUGCAAUAUAUUGCACAAUAUAUAUAACAUAUUCAUAUCAGGUUCAAAGUAGUACAAGUGUAGUUUCAAAAUGGUAUUUGUUGUAGAAGCACGGUAAAAAACAACACUUACCAUGCUUUUUACCACAGUAUUGGUAGUUUUAAUGUGAUUUUUGUUGUAAAUACAGAGUAACCACAACACUUAUCAUGCUUUUAAUGCCUAAUAAUGUUAAAUCCAAAAACUGUAAGGUCAAUAAGAACUUCUUUCCUAUAUAUAUUUAUAUAUAAACCUAUAUAUUAUAAAUAAUGAUAUUUUCUUUUCUCUUGUUUUAGCUGAAAAGACAAAAAGGGCCUUUUGGAAAUGGAUGAAGGAGACAGAAAGCUGCAAAGGCAAAUAAUUGCAAUG
This is a non-coding RNA of Megalobrama amblycephala (Wuchang bream), 2441 nucleotides long. NCBI's taxonomy places the organism in Eukaryota, Metazoa, Chordata, Actinopteri, Cypriniformes, Xenocyprididae. The record is from the annotation of a RefSeq genome assembly.